AACCAGUCAGUCUCUCUCUCUCUCCUGUAAUUGGGGUCAAGUCCGCCGGGCAAUCCCGGCGUUUGCCCGUUCCCCGGGCAUCUCGCCGGCAAUGCCGGCUCAGAUCUACUGUCGUGAGCUUGAUGCGUGACUCCGUGUGCUCUUUCUAAUCCUCACACCAACAUUCGGCGGACGAUACCUGUAAUUGAGAGAUGGAGGUGGAGAAAAGACGGUCAUAGGGAGGCUUCCUACAGUUUUUCGGCUGAAAUAGCAAGUCCAGGAAGAAGCUGUUCUCAAACAGUCCUGGUAUACCGGGUCCUGAUGGAGUUAAGCAAGGAACAGAUGAUGCAGAUAUUUUGGCGAAGUCAAGGUUUCAGAUGGUGGGAGGUUUUUUGAUACUACUGUUGUCCAAAUCAUUUUUAGUCGUGUAUGAGUUCCAUCUAUUUGACUUGCAUAAUUUGUUGCCUUGUUGUAGAAUGUUAUUGAUGAUUAGCAUUUGCAGAGGUUAUGUAGGUAUUUCUUGUCCACUCCACUGCGACGAUGAUGGCCUUGGAAUAGUGUGCACUGGGUUUGAAUAGACUGGAGUGGGUUUAGUGAAGUAGUAGUCCUACUGAUGAGCAAAAUGUCCGCCACCGGUGCAGCUUGAUGUGCUUAGGUUACUUUGGAUGGUGGUUUCUCUUGAUUAUUGGCCCAAUAUGUGUGAUAUCUGGUCAACAGGGAAUGACAUAAUUGCUUGUGCGUGCGAAUAAUAAGUGAAAUUGAUUGAUUGUGCAUAUUUCUAA
Eucalyptus grandis is the source of this 761-nucleotide long non-coding RNA. RefSeq lists it as uncharacterized. The transcript has 3 exons. The record is from RefSeq and is a predicted model, not a curated record. NCBI's taxonomy places the organism in Eukaryota, Viridiplantae, Streptophyta, Magnoliopsida, Myrtales, Myrtaceae.